RNAcentral lists this long non-coding RNA (199 nucleotides) under Setaria viridis. RNAcentral's name for it is "long non-coding RNA (SVIR_LNC011264)". The record is from RNAcentral. Lineage: Eukaryota; Viridiplantae; Streptophyta; Magnoliopsida; Poales; Poaceae.
CUACAUCAGUUACUAACAAUGGUUGCUAAUUUUUGCUGAUGAAUGCAUACCUUAGGAUGAGAAUUGCAAGAUUUUCGUAUGAAAUGUUCUUAUAAAUUGAGGAUGUGCCUAUCGUUACUAUUUGCUUGUGUACAGUGUAAACAAUUUCAUACUGGAAAUGUCAUUUGUAUCAUAUUUGUGUUACUUACCACUUUAGUAG